GAUGAAGAACGUAGCGAAAUGCGAUACUUGGUGUGAAUUGCAGAAUCCCGUGAACCAUCGAGUCUUUGAACGCAAGUUGCGCCCGAAGCCAUUAGGCCGAGGGCACGCCUGCCUGGGCGUCACACGUCGUUGCCCCCCCAUCUACUCCUUCGGGAUUGCGGGGGGCGGAUGAUAGCCUCCCGUGCGCCUCGCCGCGCGGUUGGCAUAAAUGCCAAGUCCUCGGCGACGCACGCCACGACAAUCGGUGGUUGCGAAACCUCGGUUGCCCGUCGUGUGCGGUCGUCGCGCAUCGAGGGCUCGAAAAAAUUGCCGGGUUCCGGCUCGGCUUUCAACGCGACCCCAGGUCAGGCGGGGUUACCCGCUGAAUUUAAGCAUAUCAAUAAGCGGAGG
This 390-nucleotide unclassified non-coding RNA is filed under the name soil metagenome. RNAcentral's name for it is "partial contains 5.8S ribosomal RNA, internal transcribed spacer 2, and large subunit ribosomal RNA". The stretch from base 1 to 122 matches the Rfam family "5.8S ribosomal RNA", at positions 35 to 154 of the family's 154-position model. The record is from RNAcentral.